GUAUUUUUAAACAUCUAAUAACAUGAACAUCUGUAUGAUUCUAACUUGUCAUUAUAGGAGUGGAAAAGAUGAACCCGCUUACUGUCCGGGUCUUCAUGGGCAGCAAAGUUGUCCACCAGUUCUUAAAUAUGUGCACAACAAGUGGGAGGAGAUGUGGGCCAGCAAGUGAGAUCUUCACCAAAAUGAACUCCACCAUAGAGGAGCAUGGCAUCCCUUGGGAGAACUGCAUUGGUCUCUCAGUUUACAAUGCAGCUGUGAACAUUGGACCACGGAAUUCCAUUGCCUCUAGGGUGCUCCAGAAGCAUCCCAACACCUAUAUUCAUGGUUGUCCUUGUCAUGUGGCACAUAACACCGCCAAAGCUGCAGGAGUGGGAUUUUUUAAAGAUUUUUUAAAGUGUCCGGUUUUGAUUUGGAGGAUAUGGUAGUGGACAUCGGUUACUGGUUCAAGGGUAGCACAAAUCGGAAAGGAUACCUGUCAGGUAUGCAUGUUUGAUACUAUUAAGUGUAAUACUGAAAUGCUGAGCUGUAGAAAAUAUAUGAUAUGGAUUUAAUGUCUAAAACAGAGUUUUGUGAGCUCCAUGAAGCGGAGUACAUGGAGGUCCUCCUGCAUAUCUCGGUCCGUUGGCUAAGCCUUGAACGUUGUGUGACCAGGAUCCUGAGGCUGUAUGAACCUCUGGCCAGCUACUACAAAUCUGCUAAUGAAAAUCAGGCCAGGUUCAAGAGACUUGUGCAGACAUUCACUGUCCCCAUGACAGAAGUGUACCUGCUGUUCUUCCAAGCCACCGUACCAACUUUCACUUCUUUCAACUUGCUGCUUCAGAGAGAGCAGUCAUCAAUAUUUUUGUUACAUGAUGAGGUGGGAUUGGAUUUUGCAGUUUUUUUCCAUUCUGUGUUUCUUGCUGAUAUCUGCAGGGGUCCUCUAAAACA
Coregonus clupeaformis (lake whitefish) is the source of this 927-nucleotide long non-coding RNA. RefSeq lists it as uncharacterized. The transcript has 3 exons. Lineage: Eukaryota; Metazoa; Chordata; Actinopteri; Salmoniformes; Salmonidae. The record is from RefSeq and is a predicted model, not a curated record.